AGUGAACGCUGGCGGUAGGCCUAACACAUGCAAGUCGAGCGGCAGCACAGUAAGCUCUUGCCCUUGCGGUUAGCGAGUGGCGGACGGGUGAGGAAUAGAUCGGAAUCUACUUUUUCGGGGGGGAUUACGUAGGGCAACUGACGCUAAUACAGCAUACUAUCUACGGCUGAAAUCAAGGGUUCUUCGCACCUUUCGCGUCUGAAAUAGCCGAUGCCGGAUUAGCUAGUUGGCUUGGUAAGGGCACACCAAGGCAACGAUACGUAGCUGGUCUGAGAGGAUGAUCAGCCACACUGGAACUGAGACACGGUCCAGACUCCUACGGGAGGCAGCAGUGGGGAAUAUUGGACAAUGGGCGCAGGCCUGAUCCAGCCAUACCGCGUGGGUGAAGAAGGUCUUCGGGUUGUAAAGCCCUGUUGUUGGGAAAGAAAAGAAGCAGGUUAAUCCGUCGCUGUUCUGACGGUACCCAAAGAAUAAGCACCGGCUAACUUCGUG
Molecule: ribosomal RNA, 492 nt
Filed under: uncultured bacterium
Lineage: Bacteria
Description: partial 16S ribosomal RNA
Rfam family: Bacterial small subunit ribosomal RNA
Source: RNAcentral